Molecule: ribosomal RNA, 209 nt
Filed under: uncultured bacterium
Lineage: Bacteria
Description: partial 16S ribosomal RNA
Rfam family: Bacterial small subunit ribosomal RNA
Source: RNAcentral
UGUCCCAGUUCGGACUGGAGUCUGNAACCCGACUCCACGAAGUUGGAUUCGCUAGUAAUCGCGCAUCAGCCAUGGCGCGGUGAAUACGUUCCCGGGCCUUGUACACACCGCCCGUCAAGCCAUGGGAGCCGGGGGCGCCUGAAGUCCGGGACCGCGAGGACCGGCCUAGGGCGAAACUGGUAACUGGGGCUAAGUCGUAACAAGGUAGC